AGUUCUAUCCUCAACGCCCAUCUCACGAUUAUAUUUUGGGAACAUGAAAGUUGUCUGGUUUCACAAGCUCAAGACUAGAAAGAAGUUCUGCCUCAGGGUGGAUUACUCAAGCCUCACUGACAGAGUUUUAAGGUACAUGCCCAGGAGCACCUCCCAAAGCUACCCUCAGCAGCUCGAAGACUUCCCCUGGAGUUUUCGCCGUCGAAUGUGCUGAUUUAGAGGAAGACCCUGGUCCCUGGCCACCUGCCGAGCACUUGGGGAGCCGCCAGAUCUCAGAUUGCUGCCCUUUCAGAGAAGACUUAAGAAAACCUGCCAUGUGGACCGCUGCUGCCUCCAACUUCCCCACUACAUGGCUGUCUCAGCUCGUAGAAACAGGUGGCUGGAAGCAAGAAAACUGGGCCUCGGUUUCCAGUCCACUGGAACUCACUUCCUCCUCAGCAGCUGCUA
This is a long non-coding RNA of Peromyscus leucopus (white-footed mouse), 447 nucleotides long. RefSeq lists it as uncharacterized. Lineage: Eukaryota; Metazoa; Chordata; Mammalia; Rodentia; Cricetidae. The transcript has 3 exons. The record is from RefSeq and is a predicted model, not a curated record.